AAAACUGUGUCUCAAUGCAUUCAGGUUUCAUAUAAUAUUUUUGUGAUUACUCCUCUGCAAUGCACAUCCCGCUUCUAUUGCUUGUGUUUUAUGCAUGAGUUUAACCAUAUGUCCUCACCAAUGAAUGAAUGGAGCAGAGAGAUGUUCCAAACUACUCUUUUCGUGAGGAAAAUUGUUUUCAAGAGUCAAUAUUGUUCUAAAACUAAUAUUCUGUAUGUAUGAAGAGUCCUCAUGGAUGAGUGAAUGGGACAGACAGACACUAUUUAAACUGUUCUUUAAUUUCUCGUAGCCAAUUGAGGCACCAAGAGAAACUAUCAUUCUAUUUCAUUUUCCCCUUUCAUUUAAAGUAUUUGCCAAUACAAGGAGAAGAAUUUUUAUUUCCCUUUUAGCACUCUGAGUGAGGUUCCCAUCUCUGUUGGUAGAUCAUGCCAAAUUGUUAAUUCUUGAGAAGAUGCUGAUUUCUUGAUGAUUUUCUAAUACUGCUUUAUUUGGUUGUAUUGAAGGAAUUCUUUGGAAGCCCUUUCACAAUUUUUUUUUCUUUAUUG
This 545-nucleotide unclassified non-coding RNA is filed under the name Hevea brasiliensis (rubber tree). Lineage: Eukaryota; Viridiplantae; Streptophyta; Magnoliopsida; Malpighiales; Euphorbiaceae. The record is from RNAcentral.